RNAcentral lists this ribosomal RNA (409 nucleotides) under Bacillota bacterium. RNAcentral's name for it is "Firmicutes bacterium partial 16S ribosomal RNA". It matches the Rfam family "Bacterial small subunit ribosomal RNA", at positions 355 to 776 of the family's 1533-position model. The record is from RNAcentral. Lineage: Bacteria; Bacillati; Bacillota.
UGGGGAAUAUUGCACAAUGGGCGAAAGCCUGAUGCAGCGACGCCGCGUGAGGGAUGACGGCCUUCGGGUUGUAAACCUCUUUCAGCAGGGACGAAGCGCAAGUGACGGUAACUGCAGAAGAAGCACCGGCUAACUCCGUGCCAGCAGCCGCGGUAAUACGUAGGGUGCAAGCGUUGUCCGGAAUUACUGGGCGUAAAGAGUUCGUAGGCGGUUUGUCGCGUCGUUUGUGAAAACCAGCAGCUCAACUGCUGGCUUGCAGGCGAUACGGGCAGACUUGAGUACUGCAGGGGAGACUGGAAUUCCUGGUGUAGCGGUGAAAUGCGCAGAUAUCAGGAGGAACACCGGUGGCGAAGGCGGGUCUCUGGGCAGUAACUGACGCUGAGGAACGAAAGCGUGGGUAGCGAACAGG